This 253-nucleotide ribosomal RNA is filed under the name uncultured bacterium. Its description in RNAcentral is "partial 16S ribosomal RNA". It matches the Rfam family "Bacterial small subunit ribosomal RNA", at positions 524 to 776 of the family's 1533-position model. The record is from RNAcentral.
UACGUAGGGUGCGAGCGUUAAUCGGAAUUACUGGGCGUAAAGUGUGCGCAGGCGGCGUUGCAAGUCGAGUGUGAAAUCCCCGAGCUUAACUUGGGAAUUGCGCUCGAAACUACGAUGCUCGAGUAUGGCAGAGGAAGGUGGAAUUCCACGUGUAGCGGUGAAAUGCGUAGAGAUGUGGAGGAACACCAAUGGCGAAGGCAGCUUCUUGGUCCAUAUCUGACGUUGAGGCACGAAAGCGUGGGGAGCGAACAGG